Long non-coding RNA from Plutella xylostella (diamondback moth), 261 nucleotides. RefSeq lists it as uncharacterized. The record is from RefSeq and is a predicted model, not a curated record. Lineage: Eukaryota; Metazoa; Arthropoda; Insecta; Lepidoptera; Plutellidae.
CCUACAGCGUCCCCUACAGCGUCCCCUACAGCGUCCCCUACAGCGUCCCCUUCGCCGCCCGUCCCCUGUGGCGUACUACCAGGAGUGUACUGACGAAUCCUGCGAGACCACAACAUGGGUCCCCCGCCGUCCCCUUCGCCGCCCGUCCCCUGUGGUUCCACUCCAAGGCGGUCCACCUCAGCGGUUUCCUCCCGCAUGGUUAAAGGGUGUGGAAGUUUUCUAAAAAAUGAGAAGUUUAACCCAUUAGAAUAUAUAUAUAAC